This 68-nucleotide transfer RNA is filed under the name Acetomicrobium hydrogeniformans. It matches the Rfam family "tRNA". Rfam says of the family: Transfer RNA (tRNA) molecules are approximately 80 nucleotides in length. Lineage: Bacteria; Thermotogati; Synergistota; Synergistia; Synergistales; Acetomicrobiaceae. The record is from RNAcentral.
CCGGUAGCUCAGUUGGUUAGAGCACACGCCUGAUAAGCGUGAGGUCGGUGGUUCGAAUCCACUCCGGC